RNAcentral lists this non-coding RNA (190 nucleotides) under Ruminococcus bromii. The record is from RNAcentral. Lineage: Bacteria; Bacillati; Bacillota; Clostridia; Eubacteriales; Oscillospiraceae.
CAUCGUGAGGUGGAGUCUGAAGGAAGCCGGAUUGAAGGAUGAAAAGUUCCCAAUGGGCAAAACCUCGGUCUGACGAACAGAAACUACAUAUAAGGCAUACUUGAAACGGACGAGUUUCCCAAUCAAAACGAAGUCCAAUACUGCCCGAAAUUUCAAGGUGUAAAUGUAGCAGAUAUACGAGGCGAAGGUG